Molecule: ribosomal RNA, 477 nt
Filed under: Veillonella dispar
Lineage: Bacteria; Bacillati; Bacillota; Negativicutes; Veillonellales; Veillonellaceae
Description: bacterial SSU rRNA
Rfam family: Bacterial small subunit ribosomal RNA
Source: RNAcentral
GACGAACGCUGGCGGCGUGCUUAACACAUGCAAGUCGAACGAAGAGCGAUGGAAGCUUGCUUCUAUCAAUCUUAGUGGCGAACGGGUGAGUAACGCGUAAUCAACCUGCCCUUCAGAGGGGGACAACAGUUGGAAACGACUGCUAAUACCGCAUACGAUCUGACCUCGGCAUCGAGGAUGGAUGAAAGGUGGCCUCUAUUUAUAAGCUAUCACUGAAGGAGGGGAUUGCGUCUGAUUAGCUAGUUGGAGGGGUAACGGCCCACCAAGGCGAUGAUCAGUAGCCGGUCUGAGAGGAUGAACGGCCACAUUGGGACUGAGACACGGCCCAGACUCCUACGGGAGGCAGCAGUGGGGAAUCUUCCGCAAUGGACGAAAGUCUGACGGAGCAACGCCGCGUGAGUGAUGACGGCCUUCGGGUUGUAAAGCUCUGUUAAUCGGGACGAAAGGCCUUCUUGCGAAUAGUUAGAAGGAUGACGG